AAGUCGUAACAAGGUUUCCGUAGGUGAACCUGCGGAAGGAUCAUUAAUAAAAUUAUUCGGUUAGCAUACUUUGAAGCAUGCGAAUCCUUUAAACCAUAUCCGAGUACAUUAUUUCCGCGUUGCUUUCGCAGGUCAAGAAGCGGUGCAGAGUUGGGCGACCACAACGCACCGAAAUCUGCGAAAGGUAAUGGAUUGCAAAAUUCGUUGUUUUUUUUUUAUUUCUUUAUUUUUUUCAUUUUUUAAAAAAAUUACCAUUAUCCGAAACAUGUAUAUAAAUUACAAACAAAAAUAAAAAACUUUCAACAACGGAUCUCUUGGUUCUC
RNAcentral lists this unclassified non-coding RNA (323 nucleotides) under fungal sp. RNAcentral's name for it is "partial internal transcribed spacer region". The stretch from base 1 to 46 matches the Rfam family "Eukaryotic small subunit ribosomal RNA", at positions 1786 to 1831 of the family's 1831-position model. The record is from RNAcentral. Lineage: Eukaryota; Fungi.